RNAcentral lists this ribosomal RNA (460 nucleotides) under uncultured bacterium. RNAcentral's name for it is "partial 16S ribosomal RNA". It matches the Rfam family "Bacterial small subunit ribosomal RNA", at positions 338 to 795 of the family's 1533-position model. The record is from RNAcentral.
CCUACGGGGGACAGCAGUGAGGAAUAUUGGUCAAUGGGCGCGAGCCUUAACCAGCCACGUAGCGUGAAGGAUGACUGCCCUACGGGUUGUAAACUUCUUUUAUCCAGGACUAAAGUGAGGCACGUGUGCCUUUUUGUAUGUACUUUAUGAAUACGGAUCGGCUAACUCCGUGCCAGCAGCCGCGGUAAUACGGAGGAUCCGAGCGUUAUCCGGAUUUAUUGGGUUUAAAGGGAGCGUAGAUGGGUUGUUAAGUCAGUUGUGAAAGUUUGCGGCUCAACCGUAAAAUUGCAAUUGAUACUGGCAGCCUUGAGUACAGUUGAGGUAGGCGGAAUUCGUGGUGUAGCGGUGAAAGGCUUAGAUAUCAUACAGAACACCGAUUGCGAAGGCAGCUUACCAAUCUAUAUCUGACGUUGAGGCACGAAAGCGUGGGGAGCAAACAGGAUUAGAUACCCCAGUAGUC